Molecule: ribosomal RNA, 252 nt
Filed under: uncultured bacterium
Lineage: Bacteria
Description: partial 16S ribosomal RNA
Rfam family: Bacterial small subunit ribosomal RNA
Source: RNAcentral
UACGUAGGUGGCAAGCGUUAUCCGGAUUUAUUGGGCGUAAAGGGAACGCAGGCGGUCUUUUAAGUCAGCGGUAAAAAUUCGGGGCUCAACCCCGUCCGGCCGUUGAAACUGGGGGCCUUGAGUGGGCGAGAAGAAGGCGGAAUGCGUGGUGUAGCGGUGAAAUGCAUAGAUAUCACGCAGAACCCCGAUUGCGAAGGCAGCCUUCCGGCGCCCGACUGACGUUGAGGCUCGAAAGCGUGGGGAGCGAACAGG